This is a long non-coding RNA of Eriocheir sinensis (Chinese mitten crab), 242 nucleotides long. RefSeq lists it as uncharacterized. The transcript has 3 exons. NCBI's taxonomy places the organism in Eukaryota, Metazoa, Arthropoda, Malacostraca, Decapoda, Varunidae. The record is from RefSeq and is a predicted model, not a curated record.
UGUUGUUUUUUCGGUAAGGUGGUGGAGGGACUGCACGUGGUGGCCGAGGCAGCCCAACACAGCGACAUUAAGGAGGAGAUUGUGGUGGACUGUGGCGUGGUGCUGUAAGGGUAUACUGGCCUGCACCACCACCACCACCACCACCACCACCACAACAUUAAGGAGAUUGUGGUGGACUGUGUGGUGUUGAGGGUACUGGCCUGCACCACCACCACCACCACCACCACAACAUUAUAGAGGAG